CCCGCACAAGCAGUGGAGUAUGUGGUUUAAUUCGAAGCAACGCGAAGAACCUUACCAGGGCUUGACAUCCCUUGAAGCAGCUAGAGAUAGCUGUGUCCUUCGGGACAAGGAGACAGGUGGUGCAUGGUUGUCGUCAGCUCGUGUCGUGAGAUGUUGGGUUAAGUCCCGCAACGAGCGCAACCCUCGACCUUAGUUGCCAGCAUUCAGUUGGGCACUCUAAGGUGACUGCCGGCUAAAAGUCGGAGGAAGGUGGGAUGACGUCAAAUCAUCAUGCCCCUUAUGACCUGGGCUACACACGUGCUACAAUGGUUGGUACAACGAGUUGCGAGUCGGUGACGGCGAGCUAAUCUCUUAAAGCCAAUCUCAGUUCGGAUUGUAGGCUGCAACUCGCCUACAUGAAGUCGGAAUCGCUAGUAAUCGCGGAUCAGCACGCCGCGGUGAAUACGUUCCCGGGCCUU
RNAcentral lists this ribosomal RNA (458 nucleotides) under uncultured Streptococcus sp. RNAcentral describes it as "bacterial SSU rRNA". It matches the Rfam family "Bacterial small subunit ribosomal RNA", at positions 920 to 1382 of the family's 1533-position model. The record is from RNAcentral. Lineage: Bacteria; Bacillati; Bacillota; Bacilli; Lactobacillales; Streptococcaceae.